RNAcentral lists this ribosomal RNA (566 nucleotides) under uncultured Bacteroidota bacterium. Its description in RNAcentral is "bacterial SSU rRNA". It matches the Rfam family "Bacterial small subunit ribosomal RNA", at positions 866 to 1435 of the family's 1533-position model. The record is from RNAcentral. Lineage: Bacteria; Pseudomonadati; Bacteroidota.
UAUCCACCUGGGGAGUACGUUGGCAACAAUGAAACUCAAAGGAAUUGACGGGGGCCCGCACAAGCGGAGGAACAUGUGGUUUAAUUCGAUGAUACGCGAGGAACCUUACCUGGACUUAAAUGUAGAGUGACAGCUUUAGAGAUAGAGUUUUCUUCGGACACUUUGCAAGGUGCUGCAUGGUUGUCGUCAGCUCGUGCCGUGAGGUGUCGGGUUAAGUCCAUAACGAGCGCAACCCACGUUGUUAGUUACCAGCACAUAAUGGUGGGCACUCUAACAAGACUGCCGGUGUAAACCGCGAGGAAGGUGUGGAUGACGUCAAAUCAGCACGGCCCUUACGUCCAGGGCUACACACGUGUUACAAUGGCCGGUACAGAGGGCAGCUACAUAGUGAUAUGAUGCGAAUCUCAAAAACCGGUCUCAGUCCGGAUCGAAGUCUGCAACCCGACUUCGUGAAGCUGGAUUCGCUAGUAAUCGCGCAUCAGCCAUGGCGCGGUGAAUACGUUCCCGGGCCUUGUACACACCGCCCGUCAAACCAUGGAAGCCGGGGGUACCUGAAGUCUGUGACC